Hippoglossus stenolepis (Pacific halibut) is the source of this 379-nucleotide long non-coding RNA. RefSeq lists it as uncharacterized. The record is from RefSeq and is a predicted model, not a curated record. The transcript is spliced from 2 exons. Lineage: Eukaryota; Metazoa; Chordata; Actinopteri; Pleuronectiformes; Pleuronectidae.
CUGUAUUUAAACAGGCUCCGCCCUAAGUCACAUCUUUUGGCCAAACCAGGAAGAAGGACUGAUGCAGCAGACAAGGAGAGAGCAGAGAUGCUCCUGUCCCUGCUCCCUGAUCAGCUCCCGGAACUGGUUCAUGCUGUCUGACAAGCUGUGGUGCAAGCGGAACAUCAUCCAGAACUCCUGGAUCCAGUGUCUGGAGGUCAGAGAUGAUAUGUGAAUGAUAGAAACACACAGAGAGGGACAGACUCUGACAAUGUGUCAUUGUGUUAGACUGACCUGAUGAGGUAACAUAUCCUCUGACACUCUGUUGCCUGCUCAUUGUCCAUCGCUGUUUUGAAUGUAAGGACUUUGGUAAAGGAAUAAUAUAAACAGAUCAUUCUGA